Molecule: long non-coding RNA, 691 nt
Organism: Oreochromis aureus
Lineage: Eukaryota; Metazoa; Chordata; Actinopteri; Cichliformes; Cichlidae
Source: Ensembl
CAGUACUUGGUCUCCGACUGAUGACGUAUCACAAGUACACGAGAACGCAAGUACGCACAAGUACGCAUAUUGAGAAACGCCCCUGGUGUUGGAGCAUUGUUGUUUCCACAAGCGGUAACGUGUUUAUAGCCCCCUACCCUUAGAACCAACAGUCACUGAUGAAUACUCUGGAAGGGUUGAGUUUUCUGUGAGAAAUCACUGUGAAACUGAAGAAUCUUCAAGAGGCAGACAGUGGAGUUUAUACUGCACAAAUGAUAGGGCCUCAAGAUACAGUAAUAUUAACUGAAUACAACAUCACGGUUCAAGGUAAGUAUUGCAACUUGUCAGACAUUGAUGGAGAGUAACCACUGACGUGUAUUUUCCUUUAAACACCUCCUCCCCCCUCAGAUCCAGUGUCACUGCUCAGACUCGUGUAACCUCACGGUGACCUGCAGCACAAAGCACGCUCACAUCAGCAGCAUUUUUACAUGUGACACCACAACCUGCUAUCAGGAAGGAGGAGAGCAAUCAGAGGUUACGACCUCAGGUUCUGGGAGUCUCUCUGAUGGUAUAUCUGUCUGUUUGGUAAAGACGGUUGUUUUCUCUGUGGGUCUGAUCAUCAUGGUGUUUGCUGUCAUCAGUGUCCACAUCAUAGAGAAAUUUGAGAGGCAAAAAUAAGUAGUACAUCAAUUACACCAUACAUAUAGUUCAG